UUACAUGAUGGCUGCCUAAUUAUCCAUACGUUAAUAUAGUGUGGUAUGGUGCAAAAAUAAAAUAAAAAAUAAAAAAGUGGUAUUAUCUUGUUUGAUUUCUUCAGCUUUCAAGACACCUAUGAGAUCUGCCUGUGUUAAACUAUUGACACAUCCUGUUGUAUACAGUCAGGACAUCGGUGCACAGCUAUCAGAGGCUGUAAAGAUCCCUUUGAGACAUGUGGGUGGUAAAAUAUUGACACAUCCUGUAGCAUACCGUCAGGACAUUGGUGCACAGCUAUCAGAUAUGUGUUUUCUCAGAGGAUUUUCAGUGCAGACCAGUCCUAGCAUCAGCCAUCCCCUCAUCAGAUGAUGAACCCCUGAGCUGUGCUCAGUUGUAUACACCCUCAUCACCACAGCCAAAGAAGAAGAAGAAGCAGAAGAAGCUGAUACA
This is a long non-coding RNA of Pseudoliparis swirei, 430 nucleotides long. RefSeq lists it as uncharacterized. The transcript has 3 exons. The record is from RefSeq and is a predicted model, not a curated record. Lineage: Eukaryota; Metazoa; Chordata; Actinopteri; Perciformes; Liparidae.